UAGAAAAGUCCAUGAUGGUGUUACCCAACUUGUCAUCCUGUCUGAAGCAUCUCAGUGAUGCAAUCUCUGUGUUCUGAGACUUCUCUAAGU
RNAcentral lists this small nucleolar RNA (90 nucleotides) under Canis lupus familiaris (dog). Its description in RNAcentral is "Small nucleolar RNA SNORD91 family (ENSCAFG00000025963.2, ENSCAFG00030014044.1, ENSCAFG00040003398.1, ENSCAFG00845014415.1)". It matches the Rfam family "Small nucleolar RNA SNORD91 family". Rfam says of the family: The members of this family belong to the C/D class of snoRNAs which contain the C (UGAUGA) and D (CUGA) box motifs. Lineage: Eukaryota; Metazoa; Chordata; Mammalia; Carnivora; Canidae. The record is from Rfam by way of RNAcentral.